CCUACGGGAGGCAUCAGUGAGGAAUAUUGGUCAAUGGACGAGAGUCUGAACCAGCCAAGUAGCGUGAAGGAUGACUGCCCUAUGGGUUGUAAACUUCUUUUAUAUGGGAAUAAAACAGGGUAUGCGUACAAUCUUGUAUGUACAAUAUGAUUAAGGAUCGGCUAACUAUGUGCCAGCAGCCGCGGUAAUACGGAGGAUCCGAGCGUUAUCCGGAUUUAUUGGGUUUAAAGGGAGCGUAGGUGGAUUGUUAAGUCAGUUGUGAAAGUUUGCGGCUCAACCGUAAAAUUGCAGUUGAAACUGGCAGUCUUGAGUACAGUAGAGGUGAGCGGAAUUCGUGGUGUAGCGGUGAAAUGCUUAGAUAUCACGAAGAACUCCGAUUGCGAAGGCAGCUCACUGGACUGCAACUGACACUGAUGCUCGAAAGUGUGGGGAGCAAACAGGAUUAGAUACCCGGGUAGUC
RNAcentral lists this ribosomal RNA (460 nucleotides) under uncultured bacterium. RNAcentral describes it as "partial 16S ribosomal RNA". It matches the Rfam family "Bacterial small subunit ribosomal RNA", at positions 338 to 795 of the family's 1533-position model. The record is from RNAcentral.